RNAcentral lists this transfer RNA (276 nucleotides) under Streptococcus pluranimalium. RNAcentral's name for it is "16S-23S ribosomal RNA intergenic spacer". The stretch from base 54 to 126 matches the Rfam family "tRNA". Lineage: Bacteria; Bacillati; Bacillota; Bacilli; Lactobacillales; Streptococcaceae. The record is from RNAcentral.
AAGGAAAACGGAAGCACGUUUGGGAUCUUUAUUUAGUUUUGAGAGGUCUUUGUGGGGCCUUAGCUCAGCUGGGAGAGCGCCUGCUUUGCACGCAGGAGGUCAGCGGUUCGAUCCCGCUAGGCUCCAUUAACAUCAGAAAGAUGUUAAGAUAGUCCAUUGAAAAUUGAAUAUCUAUAUCAAAUUCCACGAUUAUCGAAAGAUAAUUGUAGAAAGUAACAAGAAAAUAAACCGAAACGCUGUAAGUAUUUAAUGAGUUUAGAUCGUAAGAUCAAAAAU